RNAcentral lists this ribosomal RNA (599 nucleotides) under Bacteroides fragilis. Its description in RNAcentral is "bacterial SSU rRNA". It matches the Rfam family "Bacterial small subunit ribosomal RNA", at positions 1 to 608 of the family's 1533-position model. The record is from RNAcentral. Lineage: Bacteria; Pseudomonadati; Bacteroidota; Bacteroidia; Bacteroidales; Bacteroidaceae.
UUUUGUGGAGGGUUCGAUUCUGGCUCAGGAUGAACGCUGGCGGCGUGCUUAACACAUGCAAGUCGAACGGGAUCCCAGGAGCUUGCUCCUGGGUGAGAGUGGCGAACGGGUGAGUAAUGCGUGACCGACCUGCCCCAUACACCGGAAUAGCUCCUGGAAACGGGUGGUAAUGCCGGAUGCUCCGACUCCUCGCAUGGGGUGUCGGGAAAGAUUUCAUCGGUAUGGGAUGGGGUCGCGUCCUAUCAGGUAGUCGGCGGGGUAACGGCCCACCGAGCCUACGACGGGUAGCCGGCCUGAGAGGGCGACCGGCCACAUUGGGACUGAGAUACGGCCCAGACUCCUACGGGAGGCAGCAGUGGGGAAUAUUGCACAAUGGGCGCAAGCCUGAUGCAGCGACGCCGCGUGCGGGAUGACGGCCUUCGGGUUGUAAACCGCUUUUGAUCGGGAGCAAGCCUUCGGGUGAGUGUACCUUUCGAAUAAGCACCGGCUAACUACGUGCCAGCAGCCGCGGUAAUACGUAGGGUGCAAGCGUUAUCCGGAAUUAUUGGGCGUAAAGGGCUCGUAGGCGGUUCGUCGCGUCCGGUGUGAAAGUCCAUCGC